AGAGAUAUAGCUCAGUUGGUUAGAGCACCACCCUGAUAAGGUGGGGGUCGGUGGUUCGAGUCCACUUAUCUCUACCA
Molecule: transfer RNA, 77 nt
Filed under: Bacillota bacterium
Lineage: Bacteria; Bacillati; Bacillota
Also listed under: 1 other name
Description: tRNA-Ile
Rfam family: tRNA
About the family: Transfer RNA (tRNA) molecules are approximately 80 nucleotides in length.
Source: RNAcentral